RNAcentral lists this ribosomal RNA (285 nucleotides) under Chryseobacterium sp. October_TSA4B1. RNAcentral describes it as "partial 16S ribosomal RNA". It matches the Rfam family "Bacterial small subunit ribosomal RNA", at positions 1086 to 1372 of the family's 1533-position model. The record is from RNAcentral. Lineage: Bacteria; Pseudomonadati; Bacteroidota; Flavobacteriia; Flavobacteriales; Weeksellaceae.
CCUGCAACGAGCGCAACCCCCGUCACUAGUUGCCAUCAUUAAGUUGGGGACUCUAGUGAGACUGCCUACGCAAGUAGAGAGGAAGGUGGGGAUGACGUCAAAUCAUCACGGCCCUUACGCCUUGGGCCACACACGUAAUACAAUGGCCGGUACAGAGGGCAGCUACACAGUGAUGUGAUGCAAAUCUCGAAAGCCGGUCUCACUUCGGAUUGGAGUCUGCAACUCGACUCUAUGAAGCUGGAAUCGCUUGUAAUCGCGCAUCAGCCAUGGCGCGGUGAAUACGUU